GACGAACGCUUGCGGCGUGCCUAAGAAAUGCAAGUCGAGCGGAGGUAGCGGCUUCGGCCUCUACCUCAGCGGCGAACGGUCGCGUAACACGUAAGCAACCUGCCCCCGAGACCGGGACAACCCCGCGAAAGCGGGGCUAAUACCGGAUGUGGCCACUGGUAGGCAUCUACCGGUGAUUAAAGCGAUCACAUCGGCUCGGGGAGGGGCUUGCGGCCUAUCAGCUAGUUGGUGGGGUGACGGCCUACCAAGGCGACGACGGGUAGCUGGUCUGAGAGGA
This 277-nucleotide ribosomal RNA is filed under the name uncultured bacterium. RNAcentral's name for it is "partial 16S ribosomal RNA". It matches the Rfam family "Bacterial small subunit ribosomal RNA", at positions 28 to 300 of the family's 1533-position model. The record is from RNAcentral.